This 551-nucleotide ribosomal RNA is filed under the name uncultured archaeon. Its description in RNAcentral is "bacterial SSU rRNA". It matches the Rfam family "Archaeal small subunit ribosomal RNA", at positions 327 to 879 of the family's 1478-position model. The record is from RNAcentral.
GGGGUGCAGCAGGCGCGAAACCUAUGCAAUAGGCGAAAGCUUGACAGGGUUACUGAGAGUGAUUUCCGUUAAGGAGAUCUUUUGGCACCUCUAAAAAUGGUGCAGAAUAAGGGGUGGGCAAGUCCGGUGUCAGCCGCCGCGGUAAUACCAGCACCCCGAGUGGUCGGGAUGUUUAUUGGUCCUAAAGCAUCCGUAGCCGGUUGUACGAUUCUUCCGUUAAUUCCAACUGCUUAACAGGUGGGCUGCGGAAGAUACUAUAGAGCUAGGAGGCGGGAGAGGCAAGCGGUACUUGAUGGGUAGGGGUAAAAUCCGUUGAUCCAUUGAAGACCACCAGUGGGGAAGGCGUGCUUGCCAGAACGCGCUCGACGGUGAGGGAUGAAAGCUGGGGGAGCAAACCGGAUUAGAUACCCGGGUAGUCCCAGCCGUAAACGAUGCACACUUGGUGUUGAGUUGGUUAUAUUCCAUGUCAGUGCCGCAGGGAAGCCGUUAAGUUUGCCACCUGGGGAGUACGGUCUCAAGCCUGAAACUUAAAGGAAUCGGCGGGGGAGCAC